Long non-coding RNA from Myxocyprinus asiaticus (Chinese sucker), 3569 nucleotides. RefSeq lists it as uncharacterized. The record is from RefSeq and is a predicted model, not a curated record. The transcript is spliced from 4 exons. NCBI's taxonomy places the organism in Eukaryota, Metazoa, Chordata, Actinopteri, Cypriniformes, Catostomidae.
CAUGUAGCACUGCAGAUAUUUAUUGAGUAUCAUCGCUGCUGCUGCUCAAGAAUUGUGCGCUCAUGCUAGAUGUGUGACCUACAUCCCACUUCAGAGUCAUGAUGCACUGCAGUUAGUGCAUGUCUGCUGCCUCAGAAUCUGCACCACCGAUCUACAGAAAUGCACACUGAUGCAUUUGCUUAGUCAUUUGCACUGUAUGAACACUGCAUUUCAUACUAGAAGCCUUUUUUGUAGCAUUGAGAAAAGUCCAACAUUGUUGUCAUGGCCUACAGCAUUCAGUCAUUUUCAUCCUAGUCCAUUCUAUUUGUUAAGAAUGCAAUCAUAAUAGCAAACCUAGGGAAAUGAAUUAAGGGUUAAAGCUUUGCAUGUGACUCACAGUUGGGAUAGAUUCGAUUAACAUAUUAACGUUUUAGUAAGAAAAUGAAGAUUCAGGCUUUAUUGGAAGAAAGAAACUUACUAGCCUUUAUUAUAGUGGUAGUAGUUCCUGUAGCUCAAAUGGUAGAGCAAUGCCAAGGUCGUGGGUUUAAUGCCCAGAGAACACACAUAAAAUAUCUGCUUUUGGAUAAAAGCAUCUGCCAAAUACAUGCAUGUAAAAUGUAUUGUAAACAACCUGAUAUUGUAGAAUCACGUUACUAUGCCUAUGUUUUUGCAAACUUAUUUUUUAUGUGGUUCAUUUUACAUAUCGUGGCAGUUUCCUGAUGAAAUAAGCACUAGAGGGGCUACAAUAACAUUGACUUUUAUUCGCUUUCACACAAAUCGUGAGUCAAACGGAAGAUUAUCAGUUAAUAAUCACUCAUCUUUUUAUGCUAUAUUAUGACAUUUUUACUUUUACAAAACAUUUUUACUAAAGCACAUGACUUUUAAGGUGAUACAUUUUUACAUUCGUAUUACAUAACCAACUACAUUUACAAGCUUAUUCAAAUGCAAUCAAAUUGCGCGAGCUGCGGCACGAGAGCAUGCGUUCGAAUCCAGGGCAUGCUGUGUGACUCCAGCCAGGUCUCCUAAGCAACCAAAUUGGCCUGGUUGCUAGGGAGGGUAGAGUCACAUGGGGUAACCUCCUCAUGGUCGCUAUAAUGUGGUUUGCUCUCGGUGGGGCGCGUGGUGAGUUGUGCGUGGAGGCCAGGGAGAAUGGCGUGAAGCCUCCUCACGUGCUAUAUAUCCGCAGUAACAUGUUCAACAAGUCACGCAAUAAGAUGCACAGAUUGACGGUCUCAGACGCGGAGGCAACUGAGAUUCGUCCUCCGCCACCCGGAUUGAGGCGAGUCACUAUGCCACCACGAGGACUUAGAGCGCAGUGGGAAUUGGGCAUUCCAAAUUGGGGGAGAAAAAGGGGAGAGAAAACAAAAAUAACAAACAUGACCAUUGGAUUGCCACUUACUUUAACACAUAUGAACGAAAUGGAAACUCCUGCUCAAGAACUGGAGAUGUUUCUUCUGAAUUAGACACUUACCUGACAAAAGAUAUUUCCAAAAAUUGUGGGGACAAAAUUUGCUAAGGCAAAAAUUGGUAGGGACAUGUCCCCCCCUCUCCCACCUGUAAAUUACACCUACGCAUGUACGUAAUGUCACUUUGCGAAAAUGGCAUCACAUUCAGGUAAUUUUUUUCAGGCUGAUUGUAAAAGAACAUAAGCUACAGGCCUCUUGUUUCCAGGUUGAAUUCGCUCCCCUGGAGAUGAAUUGAUGAAUUGGUGCCAUCCGUUGUCAGAGAAGGCUUCCGCAUUAAUUUACUGUGUGGAAUUAAUUAACCUGUUUCUUUUUUAUGGCACCCUCAUUAUGGUGUCAAAAGGGAUUUGGAAAGCUUGCCCUAGUUUGGUUAAUAUUGCUUCUUUUACGUCUUGCUUUUUCCUCAAAUUUCUAUAGUUUAGGUCAUACUGUAUGCAAAAUUAUAUAUAGAUUUGUCCUGGCUUUGGUGCUCUUAAAUCUAAAUUCUCUGUACACCCUCUCCAGACACCCCCUCCCUUUAAAAGUGUGUAACUGCAUAUCCAUAGAGUCAAGUUUAGUAAAGGGUGCAAUGUUUUUCUCCAAAUAGGGAUUCUGUUUUUGCCUUCUGACACCUGAGGGAACACUCACGUCUGUGUUUCAUGCUAGAAGAACAGGAAUGCUAAGUGGAAUAUUGGAAGUGUGUUAACCUCUGGUUCACAACUAAAAAAAAAAAAAAUGCUUUUGGCACCCCACCUUGCACCCGGAAAAUGGAGCUCACGUGUGCCCAUAAACCCAACAACACUUAACGCUAUGACCACUGGGGGCAGUGUUCUGAAUCUCGUUUUCCUUUUUCCAACCACUGAGCGCUGCAAUGAUGACACAGAUUGCUGCUGAACUAAUUUCUGGCUCUGGUCUCCAUAAGAAACAAUGUAAAAAACUGCCGAAACGAGUGAUCCAGAUGGAAAACAACAACGAUUUUAAGUGUUAAUUGGAGUAACAAGGAGUUCAGUCUCAACUUGUACAGUUAUUGGCUGUAAUAUCUUCAAUUGAUCAACGUAACUAACGUCAUAGCUUCAUGUCAUCUACCCACUCCUUAAACUUUGAUGGGUGAGGCACUGUCAAAAACAUUCACUUGCAUUGUUUAGAGGAGGAGGCCUGAAAUGAAAUCCUAAAAGUCUUCAAUUCUGUUUUGAUGAAGAAAGAAACUCAGAUACAUCUUGGAUGGCCUGAGGUGGGAAGAUAAAAGACUCUUAUUACAUGUGACUGGAUCUGUCAAGGUCUCUGGCAUCUUACUUCUCUUCUGUUUGGGAUUAAAAAGACCCCUGUGUGUUCAUCAGGUCAACUCCCACUAAUGACUGUGUGUCUGGCACAGAUGGUGAGCACUGAGAGUGUCUAAGCUUUGACACACUGAGUCAGGACUGAUUAACGGAGUCUCUCAGGGUUCUUCUCCAGUGGGAUUUUAUGGCAAUAUGGAGGACUUUCCUUAUGACGACUUACUUUACAAUUAAACUGGGCGUAUUUAGUUGUGUCAUUAAAACCCAUUGGUCUAAUUAGGUGAGCAAUCUUGUAUCAACUUAUAUUUUUGUAAUACAGAUCGACAUCUUACCUGAAGGAUGAGUUUCCCCAGAAUUAAUACUUAUCUGAGCAACGUUUGAUACUCAAAAUCAGUUCUCAGUUUGUUCAUAAUCGUAAUGACUUUUAUGAGUUGUAAACAACACAUCAUUCAACCACUAAAUAUUACCAAUAUUUUAGCCGUGCUGUGAUAAUGAACCUCAACUCUCAAUUAUAUGAUGAAUAUUUAAUGGAAAGAUCAGCAGGACACUCCCAUGCUUCUGCAGCAACCAUUCAAGGGUUUCAAGUUACAACAUGGAGGGGGAGGGACUGCCAAGGUAAAGAGGCUUGAAGCAACUUCGCUCCUUUUUUCUAUACCAACUCAAGUAGUUUUCAUACAUUGCUCGGCCAAUCUAUUCGUACUUAUUCUAAAGAAUUUAUGAAUGAUCUCAAGACACUUAAGUGUUCUCUUGAUUAAAACCAUAUUGUUGAAUUUGGUGAUGAUUUGGUAAAGAUAGACUCUCAAGUUGUUUGGGGAAUUUACUAUUUAUACUUCCUUAAUGUUUUAGGCUUAUGCUAAUAAAGCUGUCUGAUGUC